This 465-nucleotide ribosomal RNA is filed under the name uncultured bacterium. Its description in RNAcentral is "partial 16S ribosomal RNA". It matches the Rfam family "Bacterial small subunit ribosomal RNA", at positions 28 to 507 of the family's 1533-position model. The record is from RNAcentral.
GACGAACGCUGGCGGCGUGCUUAACACAUGCAAGUCGAGCGGUAAGGCUCCUUCGGGAGUACACGAGCGGCGAACGGGUGAGUAACACGUGAGUAACCUGCCCCAUUCAUCGGAAUAACCAGUGGAAACGCUGGCUAAUGCCGAAUACGACCACCGAAGGCAUCUUCUGGUGGUGGAAAGCUCCGGCGGUGGGGGAUGGACUCGCGGCCUAUCAGCUUGUUGGUGAGGUAGUGGCUCACCAAGGCGUCGACGGGUAGCCGGCCUGAGAGGGUGGCCGGCCACAGUGGGACUGAGGUAGGGCCCCGACUCCUACGGGAGGCAGCAGUGGGGAAUAUUGCACAAUGGGCGGAAGCCUGAUGCAGCAACGCCGCGUGCGGGAUGCCGGCCUUCGGGUUGUAAACCGCUUUCGCCUGGGACGAAGCGUGAGUGACGGUAAUGGGUAAAGAAGCACCGGCUAACUACGUG